GAAGCAUCCUAAUAGAUUGCCUUGGACAACGGCAUGCAGCAUGACGUCCAGAUCGUCAAGCUUCUUGCCAUAGGCACUCAUCUGAGAUUUGAUUGAAAACAGUCUACAGAGUGGAAGAGCAUAGAGGAAAAAUUGAAAAAUUUAUAUAUGAUCUGACAUUCUGACUUACCCCAGGCCAUCUUCUGACCAUGCAGCUUCAUGGACGCCUUCUGCUGUUCUAAAUGCCAUGUCAGUCAUAUUUUCAUGGAUCAUUGAAGCAGCGACCGCAUACGUCACUCCUGACCAUAUUUCUCUUGACUGCAUUGACGAAAAGUCUACCAUUCCAUCAGGAAGCAUCCCAUUUACUGCACCGCGCUUCCCACCCUUCACCUUCAAGACAUUAUAAUUGUAUACCUUCUCCAGUGCACUCUUGGCCUUGUCUUCAUCAACGAUGGGAAGAAGACCUGAAGCUCUAGCAUACCAUUGUCCAGCCAACUGA
This 478-nucleotide unclassified non-coding RNA is filed under the name Hevea brasiliensis (rubber tree). Lineage: Eukaryota; Viridiplantae; Streptophyta; Magnoliopsida; Malpighiales; Euphorbiaceae. The record is from RNAcentral.